RNAcentral lists this long non-coding RNA (275 nucleotides) under Cricetulus griseus (Chinese hamster). RNAcentral describes it as "lncRNA (ENSCGRG00015040796.1)". The record is from RNAcentral. Lineage: Eukaryota; Metazoa; Chordata; Mammalia; Rodentia; Cricetidae.
GUCACCAUCUGGCAUUUGCUUGUCUUCUCUACUACAUUCCCACCAGGUCGAAAGCUCUCUGAAGAUGAGGAUCACGUGUGAAGCUAUUUUGUAUCCUUCUGCAGCACCUAAUUCAACAAACACUGUGCUCAAGAUAGGGAGCGGAGUCUCAUUUAUCCCAGGAUGUCUUUGUACUCUCCAAAGUGAUCCUGAACUCAAUGCUGGUGCUGUACCUCCCAAGUGCUGAGGUCACAGGCUUGUGCCACCAAGUCCUGCAGUAGUUCUUAGUAAGAAAA